GGCCUUUAGCCCCCCCAGUAUUAAAGGUCCCGCCUGCCCAGUGAAUUUCCCCCAUUAAACGGCCGCGGUAUUAUAACCGUGCAAAGGUAGCGUAAUCACUUGUCUCCCAAAUAGAGACCCGUAUGAACGACUAGAUGAGGGCAUACCUGUCUCCUGAGGCCAAUCAAUAAAACUGAUCUAUCAGUACAAAAGCUGAUAUAACAUCAUAAGACGAGAAGACCCUGUGGAGCUUUAAACAUAGUACUAAUCAAUAGGCCCUAACACCACCAAGGUGUCACAGUAAGCGGAAUAGUAUAAAUUUUUAGUUGGGGCGACUACGGAAUAAAACAAACCUUCCAUGCAUCCGAGCUCGACGCUAACUUAAGGCUGACAGGCCAAACACUUGACCCAGUAAUAAACUGAUCAACGAACCAAGUUACCCCAGGGAUAACAGCGCUAUCCCCUUUAAGAGUCCCUAUCGACAAGGGGGCUUACGACCUCGAUGUUGGAUCAGGACACCCCGGUGGUGCAGCCACUGCCAAAGGUUCGUUUGUUCAACGAUUAAAGUCCU
This 550-nucleotide ribosomal RNA is filed under the name Pseudogekko chavacano (Zamboanga false gecko). RNAcentral describes it as "LSU rRNA". It matches the Rfam family "Bacterial large subunit ribosomal RNA", at positions 1817 to 2597 of the family's 2925-position model. Lineage: Eukaryota; Metazoa; Chordata; Lepidosauria; Squamata; Gekkonidae. The record is from RNAcentral.